GGGGGGGGCCGCGCCUCCAAUAAUUCAGCCAUGAUGGAUGGUGAUGACUGAUGAGCUCAGGGAGGCGUCAUGAUCACGCACGCCGCCACAGCCGUGGAUCGAACGCGAGCUCUCGCGUUCCACGGCUGGGUUGGGACGACUUGGGACAGCCGAGCUGAUUUCAAGCUUCUUUUAGCAAAACUUCUUACAGAGGCUGCAGUUUUUCUUGUUUUUUGUUUUGUUUGCU
RNAcentral lists this long non-coding RNA (226 nucleotides) under Panicum hallii. RNAcentral describes it as "long non-coding RNA (PHAL_LNC000825)". Lineage: Eukaryota; Viridiplantae; Streptophyta; Magnoliopsida; Poales; Poaceae. The record is from RNAcentral.